AGGCAACAAGUUUUUGCUUUUUAACAGUUGUUUCCAGGCUUAGUAGCUGAAGCAAUCUGAAGCAAUCCAGGAUAGUGUCACCGAAGUUUGAGGGGACUCAAUUGAUGCCAGUUUUCAGUGAAAUGGGGAUUAGCAUUUCAGCAAGAUUUCCAUCUGGUAGCUAAUGUUGGUUCUACUUCAUGAAUCAGUUGAAUUAUUAGGGUUUCAGGUUUCAAAGUAUUUGUAAAUUGCUGUAACAUACAGCAUGACAUUCUGCCAGUCUGGACGUUCAGUUCGCACCAUUUCAUUGAUGUCCAGAGUAGAUUUGAUGCCAACACUUUCAGCUGCCUGAAAAGCCAAAGUGAAGUUUCUUCUCUUGUCCUGGCUGUUUAGCUCUUGAUAGGGAAUAUGGGCUGGGAGGUAAGUAUGGAGGACUGCGCAGAAAGCCAAGCCAUCAUUCCAGCUGCUGCUGAAGUUUGUUAUGUCAAUGUUCUGAUAUCCUUCUGUUUUUUUCUGGCACCAUUUCAGCAAGGCAUUUCUUUUCGAUCCUCCAUAUUCUCUUGCUAGGGCAGACAAGGGAUCUUUCCUUUCUUCCCUUAUUCGACUUCUGGUUGUAGGGGUGACUGAUGCUGUAGGGGAGGAUGAGAGGGACAGCUGUGGUGAGGUGGUACCCAUUGCCAUGAGAGAGGCUGGAGAUGCUCCAUCGGGUGCACUGAUAUCCCGUUUGAUUUCUU
Molecule: long non-coding RNA, 713 nt
Filed under: Gallus gallus (chicken)
Lineage: Eukaryota; Metazoa; Chordata; Aves; Galliformes; Phasianidae
Source: RNAcentral